CUCUAAUACCUUAUUAUUACCUAUCCUGAUGCCUGGUCACUUUACCCUGCCUUCAGAUACAUAUCUACCUCUAAUACCUUAUUAUUAUCUAUCCUGAUGCCUGGUCACUUUACCCUGCCUUCAUGUACACAUCUACCUCAAAUACCUUAUUAGUAUCUAUCCUGAUGCCGAGUCACUUUACCCUGCCUUCAUGUACAUAUCUACCUCGAAUACAGUACCUUGUACCUCUGCAUAUCCAGCGUAACCUAGUGGUUAGAGCAUUGGACUAGUAACUGAAAGGUUGCAAGAUCAAAUCCCUGAGCUGACAAGGUACACAUUUGUCGUUCUACCCCUGAACAAGGCAGUUAACCCACUGUUCCCCGGUAGGCCAUCAUUGAAAAUAAAGAGUUUUUUUCUUAACUGACUUGCCUAGUAAAAUAUUGAUCUGGUACUGGUACUCCCUGAGUAUAGCUCCAUUAUUGUGUAUUUCAUUUGGCUUACUUAGGGCUUGUAAGUAAACAUUUCACAGUAAAGUAUACAUCGGUUGUAUUGCACCUGACAAACAAAUGUCAAUUUGAUUUGGGAUCAACUUAAUUAAUGACCUAUUAUUGUUGUUAUUGCUCUUAUAGAGGCACAGCGGUCUAAAGGCCCUGCAUCUCAGUGCAAUAGGCGUCACUACAGUCACAGGUUCGAAUCCAGGCUGUAUCCCAUCCGGCCGUGAUUGGGAGUCCCAUAGGGCGGGGCACAUUUGGACCAGCAUCGUCCGGGUUUGGCUGUUCCUAGGCCGUCAUUCUAAAUAAGAAUUUGUUCUUAACUGACUUGCCUAGUUACACAAAUGUUACAUUUCAAAUAAAUAAAUAACAAUGAGUGAGAGGGAACAUGCACGUAGCAUUUUGUUGGACCGUGACUAACAUGUGUAUUGCGUGUCUAUGACAAAAAUAGACGUAAUCUUGAAUUAUUGAUCACCUGAUCUGCCUAUUCAUGUUAUGACUACUGCAGUAGUAUAUGUGUUGAUUAUUACGUAUCAUUCAGAGUAAUUUAUGUCUCUGGGCUGUCGUGUGUGUGUGUGUGUGUGUGUGUGUGUGUGUGUGUGUGCGUGCGUGUGUGUU
Molecule: long non-coding RNA, 1088 nt
Organism: Oncorhynchus tshawytscha (Chinook salmon)
Lineage: Eukaryota; Metazoa; Chordata; Actinopteri; Salmoniformes; Salmonidae
Source: Ensembl